AGGUACUACUGCGUCCUCCAACAAUAAAAUCAAGUAACCAUGAUAUAACUAAGAGUGUUGAAAGUGGUGUUAAACACCCAACAAUCAAUCCAGUUUCAAAGUUAAACAUUUCAAUAUAUUUAGCAAAUAUAUUUAUUGUUCAGCUACAGACAAUGAUAGCAUAAUAUGUAAACCUUAAUCGUUCUUCUGUCUUCUAUUUGUCCGUCCCAUGGUCCUUAUAUAUAAAACAAGCAAAAAGUUAUUUACAUCAAUGUUUAAGUCCUACAUAUUUUUUUCUUCCAAAUAUAUCAGGCAGAC
Molecule: long non-coding RNA, 297 nt
Filed under: Mytilus galloprovincialis (Mediterranean mussel)
Lineage: Eukaryota; Metazoa; Mollusca; Bivalvia; Mytilida; Mytilidae
Source: RNAcentral